Molecule: ribosomal RNA, 406 nt
Filed under: uncultured bacterium
Lineage: Bacteria
Description: partial 16S ribosomal RNA
Rfam family: Bacterial small subunit ribosomal RNA
Source: RNAcentral
AUUGAACGCUGGCGGCAGGCCUAACACAUGCAAGUCGAACGAGUGGCGGACGGGUGCGUAAUGUCUGUGAAACUGCCCGAUGGCGGGGGAUAACUACUGGAAACGGUAGCUAAUACCGCAUACCAUCGGAGGUGCCCCGAUGUGAUUAGCUAGUAGGUGGGGUAACGGCUCACCUAGGGAACGAUCCCUAGCUGGUCUGAGAGGAUGACCAGGACGGCGUGAACGGCGAAACGGUCCAGCCUCCUACGGGAGGCAGCAUUGGGGAUUAUUGAACAGUGGGCGCAAGCCUGACGCAGCCAUGCCGCGUGUAUGAAGAAGGCCUUCGGGUUGUAAAGUACUUUUAGCGAGGAGGCGUUACUCGCAGAAGAAGCACCGGCUAACUCCGUGCCAGCAGCCGCGGUAAUUC